Molecule: ribosomal RNA, 440 nt
Filed under: uncultured bacterium
Lineage: Bacteria
Description: partial 16S ribosomal RNA
Rfam family: Bacterial small subunit ribosomal RNA
Source: RNAcentral
CCUACGGGAGACAGCAGUGGGGAAUAUUGCACAAUGGGGGAAACCCUGAUGCAGCGACGCCGCGUGAGUGAAGAAGUAUUUCGGUACGUAAAGCUCUAUCAGCAGGGAAGAAAAUGACGGUACCUGACUAAGAAGCCCCGGCUAACUACGUGCCAGCAGCCGCGGUAAUACGUAGGGGGCAAGCGUUAUCCGGAUUUACUGGGGGUAAAGGGAGCGUAGACGGCAACGCAAGUCUGGAGUGAAAUCCCAUGGCUUAACCAUGGAACUGCUUUGGAAACUGUGCAGCUAGAGUGCAGGAGAGGUAAGCGGAAUUCCUGGUGUAGCGGUGAAAUGCGUAGAUAUUAGGAGGAACACCAGUGGCGAAGGCGGCUUACUGGACUGUAACUGACGUUGAGGCUCGAAAGCGUGGGGAGCAAACAGGAUUAGAUACCCGUGUAGUC